Molecule: non-coding RNA, 31 nt
Filed under: Mus musculus (house mouse)
Lineage: Eukaryota; Metazoa; Chordata; Mammalia; Rodentia; Muridae
Source: RNAcentral
UUAUACUUUAAGAGAGUCUCUCACUAGAGUC